RNAcentral lists this ribosomal RNA (431 nucleotides) under uncultured bacterium. RNAcentral describes it as "partial 16S ribosomal RNA". It matches the Rfam family "Bacterial small subunit ribosomal RNA", at positions 29 to 505 of the family's 1533-position model. The record is from RNAcentral.
AACGAACGCUGGCGGCAUGCCUAACACAUGCAAGUCGAACGAGACCUUCGGGUCUAGUGGCGCACGGGUGCGUAACGCGUGGGAACCUGCCCUUAGGUUCGGAAUAACUCCCCGAAAGGGGUGCUAAUACCGGAUAAUGUCUUCGGACCAAAGAUUUAUCGCCUUUGGAUGGGCCCGCGUUGGAUUAGCUAGUUGGUAGGGUAAAAGCCUACCAAGGCGACGAUCCAUAGCUGGUCUGAGAGGAUGAUCAGCCACACUGGGACUGAGACACGGCCCAGACUCCUACGGGAGGCAGCAGUGGGGAAUAUUGGACAAUGGGCGAGAGCCUGAUCCAGCAAUGCCGCGUGAGUGAUGAAGGCGUUAGGGUUGUAAAGCUCUUUUACCCGGGAUGAUAAUGACAGUACCGGGAGAAUAAGCUCCGGCUAACUCCG